Molecule: ribosomal RNA, 497 nt
Filed under: uncultured bacterium
Lineage: Bacteria
Description: partial 16S ribosomal RNA
Rfam family: Bacterial small subunit ribosomal RNA
Source: RNAcentral
GAUGAACGCUGGCGGCGUGCCUAAUACAUGCAAGUCGAGCGAACGGACGAGAAGCUUGCUUCUCUGAUGUUAGCGGCGGACGGGUGAGUAACACGUGGAUAACCUACCUAUAAGACUGGGAUAACUUCGGGAAACCGGAGCUAAUACCGGAUAAUAUUUUGAACCGCAUGGUUCAAAAGUGAAAGACGGUCUUGCUGUCACUUAUAGAUGGAUCCGCGCUGCAUUAGCUAGUUGGUAAGGUAACGGCUUACCAAGGCAACGAUGCAUAGCCGACCUGAGAGAGUGAUCGGCCACACUGGAACUUAGACACGGUCCAGACUCCUACGGGAGGCAGCAGUAUGGAAUCUUCCGCAAUGGGCGAGAGCCUGACGGAGCGACGCCGCGUGAGUUAUGACGGUCUUCGGAUCGUAAAACUCUGUUAUUAGGGAAGAACAUAUGUGUAAGUAACUGUGCACAUCUUGACGGUACCUAAUCAGAAAGCCACGGCUAACUACGUG